UUUUCCCUGCGGCGUGCGCCAAGGCAUACAUUCCUUUGAACCAAUAAGUUCGCUUCAGGUCGUCGGGAGUGCGGCGGGCGCGAGCGUUCCUUUGGAAACGCACCCGAAGCCGUCCGAGACGGCCGCCUUGUUUGACAAGGUUCAAGCGGAUUGAGCUGAAACGCCGCCUGCGGGGAAUCC
This is a non-coding RNA of Neisseria bacilliformis ATCC BAA-1200, 180 nucleotides long. It matches the Rfam family "6S / SsrS RNA". From Rfam's summary of the family: E. coli 6S RNA was the first non coding RNA to be sequenced, but its function was unknown until recently. The record is from Rfam. NCBI's taxonomy places the organism in Bacteria, Pseudomonadati, Pseudomonadota, Betaproteobacteria, Neisseriales, Neisseriaceae.